GAUGUAAUCCGGCAGCAGCAACCGGCCCAAAACAGCCAGCGUGCAGCUAAUGGGCCGCUCGCAUUCUGGCGCCGUCGUGCCACGCAAGGUCAGCGCCGGAGGAGGGCCAGGAGCAUCACGCGGCCUUGACCCGUGUGGCCCAGAUUCGGACGCCGGCCGGCCGGUCCGAUCGCCGCGCGAGCUUUUGCCGCCGUCCUCCUCGCCUCUCCUCCGGGCUUUCCUUGGGUCCGCUCUCCCUGUCUGCUCUUCCCGCCGACCAACCAGACCGGCCAGCCAGCCCUCCUCCACCGGUCGUCUUCGCUGACAGCUUCACUCAAAGAGGAAGGCUCGCGAGAAGGCCGGUGUUUUCCCGCGACGUUCACGCGCCCUCUUUUCUCCUCGCUGGACCGUCACCGAUAUGGCGCGAUCGGGCGUUCACCUGUAGCGCUGCUUUGCGCCACCAACGUGGUGACCGGCAUCAAGCUAUUUCGGCACGUGGACUUCACGCACGCCAACAGCGCUGAUCGCCAUCACCGAUAACAUCCAGUGAUGCCUCACAGUGGAACUGCUGAACUGCAUCACUUCACGGCGUAACCAACGCUGCAAAAGAGCGAUCCACUUCGCCCGCGUUGCGCUUGGCCGCAGCAGCCGUGGCAAAAAGGCAACCCAAGUAAACGGCUGUCUUCGAUUGCGCAGUCUUUUGCAGGGUCAAGCGAGGAACGGGGUGCACUCUCAACGAGGUGGGAUACAGGCUACUAUCGACGUACGCAAGUGCCUUUUCUAACAGCUGGACGCAAAUAAAGUAAGAAAUGAAACUUGG
This is a long non-coding RNA of Dermacentor albipictus, 799 nucleotides long. RefSeq lists it as uncharacterized. Lineage: Eukaryota; Metazoa; Arthropoda; Arachnida; Ixodida; Ixodidae. The record is from RefSeq and is a predicted model, not a curated record.